Molecule: ribosomal RNA, 420 nt
Filed under: bacterium
Lineage: Bacteria
Description: partial 16S ribosomal RNA
Rfam family: Bacterial small subunit ribosomal RNA
Source: RNAcentral
UGGGGGAUAUUGCACAAUGGGCGAAAGCCUGAUGCAGCGACGCCGCGUGGGGGAUGAAGGCUUUCGGGUUGUAAACCUCUUUCGCUAUCGAACAAGGCCCGCUUAGGGUGGGUUGAGGGUAGGUGGAGAAGAAGCGCCGGCUAACUACGUGCCAGCAGCCGCGGUAAUACGUAGGGCGCGAGCGUUGUCCGGGAUUAUUGGGCGUAAAGGGCUUGUAGGCGGCUUGUUGCGCCUGCUGUGAAAACGCGGGGCUUAACUUCGCGCGUGCAGUGGGUACGGGCAGGCUUGAGUGUUGUUGGGGUGACUGGAAUUCCAGGUGUAGCGGUGGAAUGCGCAGAUAUCUGGAGGAACACCGAUGGCGAAGGCAGGUCACUGGGCCAUUACUGACGCUGAGGAGCGAAAGCAUGGGUAGCGAACAGG